Molecule: ribosomal RNA, 496 nt
Filed under: uncultured bacterium
Lineage: Bacteria
Description: partial 16S ribosomal RNA
Rfam family: Bacterial small subunit ribosomal RNA
Source: RNAcentral
AUGAACGCUGGCGGCGUGCCUAAUACAUGCAAGUCGAGCGAACGGACGAGAAGCUUGCUUUUCUGAUGUUAGCGGCGGACGGGUGAGUAACACGUGGAUAACCUACCUAUAAGACUGGGAUAACUUCGGGAAACCGGAGCUAAUACCGGAUAAUAUUUUGAACCGCAUGGUUCAAAAGUGAAAGACGGUCUUGCUGUCACUUAUAGAUGGAUCCGCGCUGCAUUAGCUAGUUGGUAAGGUAACGGCUUACCAAGGCAACGAUGCAUAGCCGACCUGAGAGGGUGAUCGGCCACACUGGAACUGAGACACGGUCCAGACUCCUACGGGAGGCAGCAGUAGGGAAUCUUCCGCAAUGGGCGAAAGCCUGACGGAGCAACGCCGCGUGAGUGAUGAAGGUCUUCGGAUCGUAAAACUCUGUUAUUAGGGAAGAACAUAUGUGUAAGUAGCUGUGCACAUCUUGACGGUACCUAAUCAGAAAGCCACGGCUAACUACGUG